GUGGCCAAGUGGUUAAGGCAAUGGACUAGAAAUCCAUUGAGGACUCCCACACCCAGGUUCAAAUCCUGCC
RNAcentral lists this transfer RNA (70 nucleotides) under Chelonia mydas (Green sea turtle). It matches the Rfam family "tRNA", at positions 7 to 64 of the family's 71-position model. Rfam says of the family: Transfer RNA (tRNA) molecules are approximately 80 nucleotides in length. Their secondary structure includes four short double-helical elements and three loops (D, anti-codon, and T loops). Lineage: Eukaryota; Metazoa; Chordata; Testudines; Cheloniidae. The record is from Rfam by way of RNAcentral.